This 253-nucleotide ribosomal RNA is filed under the name uncultured bacterium. RNAcentral's name for it is "partial 16S ribosomal RNA". It matches the Rfam family "Bacterial small subunit ribosomal RNA", at positions 524 to 776 of the family's 1533-position model. The record is from RNAcentral.
GACGGAGGAUGCAAGCGUUAUCCGGAAUGAUUGGGCGUAAAGCGUCCGCAGGUGGCAGUUCAAGUCUGCUGUCAAAGACCGGGGCUCAACCUCGGAAAGGCAGUGGAAACUGAACAGCUAGAGUAUGGUAGGGGCAGAGGGAAUUCCUGGUGUAGCGGUGAAAUGCGUAGAGAUCAGGAAGAACAUCGGUGGCGAAGGCGGUCUGCUGGACCAUAACUGACACUCAGGGACGAAAGCUAGGGGAGCGAAUGGG